Molecule: non-coding RNA, 353 nt
Organism: Mus musculus (house mouse)
Lineage: Eukaryota; Metazoa; Chordata; Mammalia; Rodentia; Muridae
Source: the annotation of a RefSeq genome assembly
AUGGACAUGAGGGCCCCUGCUCAGUUUCUUGGGAUCUUGUUGCUCUGGUUUCCAGGUGCCAGAUGUGACAUCUGGAUGACUCAGUCUCCAUCGUCCAUGUUUGGCUCUCUGGGAGACAGAGUCAGUCUCACUUGCCAGGCUAGUCAGAGCAUUAGAGUUUAUUUAAGCUGGUAUCAGCAGAAACAGGUUGGAACUAUUAAACUCCUGAUCUACUCUACAUCCAAAUUAGAUUCUGGUGUCCCAUCAAGGUUCAGUGGCAGUGGGUCUUAGUCAGAUUAUUCUCUCACCAUCAACAGCCUAGAGUCUGAAGAUGUAGCAAUUUAUUACUGUCUACAACAUGCUAGUUCUCCUCC